RNAcentral lists this long non-coding RNA (1395 nucleotides) under Homo sapiens (human). RNAcentral's name for it is "non-protein coding LINC01649:9". Lineage: Eukaryota; Metazoa; Chordata; Mammalia; Primates; Hominidae. The record is from RNAcentral.
AGAUGCCCUCUUAGGGUUUGAAAUGUGGGGGAAAAAAAAAGAGAAUCACUGCUUAUCUUAGUCUGUUCGGGUAGCUGUAACAAAAUACCAUACCUGAGUGACUUACAAGUAAUAGAAAUGUUAUUUCUCACAUUUCUGGAGUCUGGGAAGCCCAAGAUCAAGGUGCUAGCAGAUUUGGUGUCUGGUAUCUACUGACCUGGUUAUCGCUUCUUCCUUUAAGGAGUAUUAGAACACUGCUGGGGAUGGGCUGACAAACAUACCAGGGAUUUUACUUUGUGUCAGCCAAGAGGCUUUCCUUACCUCCUUGUCUUCAGUACUCUUGUGCACAAGCAUGCUUCUCAGAGAAGGUGGAUUCUACCUUGGAAGGAAAUGAGUCGUUUCCUCCCAUCAGGACAACUGCCACAGCAUGGUGUCAACUCACUCUUGCCUUUCGUAAAUUGAGUUUGUCAGUGCUCAGCGACACAGCUGAGUGAAAUGUUGUGUGAUGCGGGCUGUCUCCUGGGAGAGAGAAACUGGCAUAAACCACAUCCUAAUGGGAUCCAGAAACAAAGAAGCGUGAAUGAAGUGUUAAUUGCAUUCAUAAAGACAUUAACAAAGGAAUUAAAAUGGCAGAAGCUUCAGUCCCCCACUCAAGAUUCACAGAAAAAUAUGUUAUCCAAAGAAUGUUUCAACAAUAAUCAUCAAAGUUUAUUGCUUGCCCAUUGGGGAAAUAACUCUUGAUACAUAUUAACUUUUCAAAGAACAUUUUGGGUCCAUUAUUUUGAGUAUAUUAACUAACAGACAGUUUAUUCCACCCUACCUCCAGUUCUUUGCUUGCUUUUGUAUGAUUUAAGUUUCAAAAAAAUCCAGAGGCAUUUUCAGUGCUGCUUCAUUAACCAUAAGGAUGUCUGUUAACAGUUUGAACCUAAUCAAUCCUACAGUUCUUAUUAGAGCAAAAUGCUCAUUAUCUGGGAGAAUUUUUGCUUUUUGAAAUAAAAUUACAAGACUGGGGGUUUAUUUUACAGUCCCUCUUGAAUAUUCCUGAGAUGAUCUGCAAUGUGGGCAACCCGGGGCUCCCUCCCCAGCCCUGUGGCAGGGCCCCCCAGCUGCUGACAGCGGGGCUAAGCUGGCAAAAGGUCAGGAGGCUGCAUUUCACUGAAGAUGGAUCGCACAGAUGAAUAUUGCGCUUGCUUAAUGAAGUCAAGGCCACGGAUUUGGGGCCUUUUAUGGUUCUUCUUGUUUCACUCAAUUUCACCUUCAUAGACCACGCCACUAAUCCCAGCCAAUCAUUUUGUAGAUAUGUGCAACUGGUGACUAAGGGACUAGAUAAAAGUAAAUGAAUCUAAAAAACAGUGACCAGAAAUUCAGAAAUCUCUGUGCCUAUAACAAACUCAGAAUUAAAAAAAAAAAGCAUGC